AUUUAUAUAGUUUAAAUAAAACAUUAUAUUUUCAUUAUAAAAUUAGAUUUUUAUCUUGUAAAUA
Molecule: transfer RNA, 64 nt
Filed under: Phygasia ornata
Lineage: Eukaryota; Metazoa; Arthropoda; Insecta; Coleoptera; Chrysomelidae
Description: tRNA-Glu
Source: RNAcentral